RNAcentral lists this transfer RNA (65 nucleotides) under Campylobacter coli. Its description in RNAcentral is "tRNA-Asn". It matches the Rfam family "tRNA". Rfam says of the family: Transfer RNA (tRNA) molecules are approximately 80 nucleotides in length. Their secondary structure includes four short double-helical elements and three loops (D, anti-codon, and T loops). Lineage: Bacteria; Pseudomonadati; Campylobacterota; Epsilonproteobacteria; Campylobacterales; Campylobacteraceae. RNAcentral also lists the same sequence under 1 other name. The record is from RNAcentral.
GGAUUAGCUCAGCGGUAGAGUAGUCGGCUGUUAACCGAUUGGUCGUAGGUUCGAAUCCUACAUCC